This 327-nucleotide ribosomal RNA is filed under the name uncultured eukaryote. RNAcentral's name for it is "partial 18S ribosomal RNA". It matches the Rfam family "Eukaryotic small subunit ribosomal RNA", at positions 1470 to 1796 of the family's 1831-position model. The record is from RNAcentral.
CCCUUAGAUGUUCUGGGCCGCACGCGCGCUACACUGACGAAUGCAACGAGCUUAUAACCUUGGCCGAAAGGUCUGGGUAAUCUCCAAAUUUCGUCGUGAUGGGGAUAGAUUAUUGCAAUUAUUAAUCUUCAACGAGGAAUGCCUAGUAAGCGCAAGUCAUCAGCUUGCGUUGAUGACGUCCCUGCCCUUUGUACACACCGCCCGUCGCUCCUACCGAUUGAAUGGUCCGGUGAAGCGUUCGGACCGUGGCCUUUGGACGGUUCGCCGUCUGUUGGCUGCGGGAAGUUCGUUAAACCUUAUCAUUUAGAGGAAGGAGAAGUCGUAACA